UCCGGUUUGUCACCGGCAGUCUCCCUAGAGUUCCCGACCGAAUCGCUGGCAACUAGGGACAAGGGUUACGCUCGUUACGGGACUUAACCCAACAUCUCACGACACGAGCUGACGACAGCCAUGCAGCACCUGUCACUCGGUUCCCGGAGGCACCAAUCCAUCUCUGGAAAGUUCUGUAGAUGUCAAGGCCAGGUAAGGUUCUUCGCGUUGCGUCGAAUUAAACCACAUGCUCCACCGCUUGUGUGGGCCCCCGUCAAUUCCUUUGAGUUUCAGUCUUGCGACCGUACUCCCCAGGCGGCGAACUUAACGCGUUAGCUUCGAUACUGCGUGCCAAAUUGCACCCAACAUCCAGUUCGCAUCGUUUAGGGCGUGGACUAC
RNAcentral lists this unclassified non-coding RNA (378 nucleotides) under uncultured Lysobacteraceae bacterium. Its description in RNAcentral is "uncultured Xanthomonadaceae bacterium contains 16S-23S intergenic spacer region". Lineage: Bacteria; Pseudomonadati; Pseudomonadota; Gammaproteobacteria; Lysobacterales; Lysobacteraceae. The record is from RNAcentral.